Molecule: small nuclear RNA, 107 nt
Organism: Carlito syrichta (Philippine tarsier)
Lineage: Eukaryota; Metazoa; Chordata; Mammalia; Primates; Tarsiidae
Source: Ensembl
GUGCUUGCUUCGGCAGCACAUAUACUAAAAUCAGAACAAUACAGAGAAGAUUAGCAAGGCCCCUGUGCAAGGAGGACACACAAAUUUGUAAAACACUCCAUAUUUUU